This 253-nucleotide ribosomal RNA is filed under the name uncultured bacterium. Its description in RNAcentral is "partial 16S ribosomal RNA". It matches the Rfam family "Bacterial small subunit ribosomal RNA", at positions 524 to 776 of the family's 1533-position model. The record is from RNAcentral.
UACAGAGGGGGCAAGCGUUGUUCGGAAUUACUGGGCGUAAAGGGCGCGUAGGCGGCUCGCCAAGUCAGGGGUGAAAUACUUCAGCUUAACUGGAGAAGUGCCCUUGAUACUGGCGGGCUCGAGGGAGGUAGGGGUCUGUGGAACUUCUGGUGGAGCGGUGAAAUGCGUUGAUAUCAGAAGGAACGCCGGUGGCGAAAGCGACGGACUGGACCUCUUCUGACGCUGAGGCGCGAAAGCUAGGGGAGCAAACGGG